RNAcentral lists this small RNA (1235 nucleotides) under Pongo abelii (Sumatran orangutan). Its description in RNAcentral is "retained intron". The record is from RNAcentral. Lineage: Eukaryota; Metazoa; Chordata; Mammalia; Primates; Hominidae.
GGACCGAACUUCUGCCGUGCGGACAGCAGGAGCGGCGCCGAGCCCCAUUCCCCCACCUCUCCAGCCCGCCCUCUGAGUCUCCCGAGCCCUCUCUCCAUUUCCCACAACUGUGCUGCACAUGGUGAUGAGUUUCCGGGUGUCUGAGCUUCAGGUGCUUCUUGGCUUUGCUGGCCGGAAUAAGAGUGGACGGAAGCACGAGCUCCUGGCCAAGGCUCUGCACCUCCUGAAGUCCAGCUGUGCCCCUAGUGUCCAGAUGAAGAUCAAAGAGCUUUACCGACGACGCUUUCCCCGGAAGACCCUGGGGCCCUCUGAUCUCUCCCUUCUCUCUUUGCCCCCUGGCACCUCUCCUGUAGGCUCCCCUGGUCCUCUAGCUCCCAUUCCCCCAACCCUGUUGGCCCCUGGCACCCUGCUGGGCCCCAAGCGUGAGGUGGACAUGCACCCCCCUCUGCCCCAGCCUGUGCACCCUGAUGUCACCAUGAAACCAUUGCCCUUCUAUGAAGUCUAUGGGGAGCUCAUCCGGCCCACCACCCUUGCAUCCACUUCUAGCCAGCGGUUUGAGGAAGCGCACUUUACCUUUGCCCUCACACCCCAGCAAGUGCAGCAGAUUCUUACAUCCAGAGAGGUUCUGCCAGGAGCCAAAUGUGAUUAUACCAUACAGGUGCAGCUAAGGUUCUGUCUCUGUGAGACCAGCUGCCCCCAGGAAGAUUAUUUUCCCCCCAACCUCUUUGUCAAGGUCAAUGGGAAACUGUGCCCCCUGCCGGGUUACCUUCCCCCAACCAAGAAUGGGGCCGAGCCCAAGAGGCCCAGCCGCCCCAUCAACAUCACACCCCUGGCUCGACUCUCAGCCACUGUUCCCAACACCAUUGUGGUCAAUUGGUCAUCUGAGUUUGGACGGGUGAGCACAGCUAAAGCAGGUGCCUGGAAAAGCCUGCUGAGGGUGAAGGGGAACCAUCCAGUGUCCUGGGCUGGGGAAGCAUUUUUCUCUUUAUGGGUCUGUCCCUGGUCCUCAUGGAACAAAAGUGGGCAGUGGUGGUAUGAGAAGCAGAGGCUAAUUGUCUACCCCCUGCCUCCAAGUAGAAUUACUCCUUGUCUGUGUACCUGGUGAGGCAGUUGACUGCAGGAACCCUUCUACAAAAACUCAGAGCAAAGGGUAUCCGGAACCCAGACCACUCGCGGGCACUGAGUGAGUAACAUCUUUCCUCUCUUCCCCACCUGAUCUGGAUCCAAGUCUUCCU